AUAUGGAAAAUAAGUGUUUUGCCU
RNAcentral lists this non-coding RNA (24 nucleotides) under Arabidopsis thaliana (thale cress). Lineage: Eukaryota; Viridiplantae; Streptophyta; Magnoliopsida; Brassicales; Brassicaceae. The record is from RNAcentral.